UUUCCGUAGGUGAACCUGCGGAGGGAUCAUUAUUGGAUUUUGAAACUUCAGGCUGCUGCUGGCUCUCCUCGGAGGGCAUGUGCACGGUUGUUGUCCAUUAUUCCUCCCCCUGUGCACAAAUUGUAGACCUUGCAUUAGUCCUAUGUUGUUUUUCACCAACUCUUAUUAUAAUAUUUUACAUUUGAAUUCUUGGUAAUGAAAUCCAACUUUCAGCAAGGGAUCUCUUGGUUCUC
Molecule: unclassified non-coding RNA, 233 nt
Filed under: plant metagenome
Description: partial contains small subunit ribosomal RNA, internal transcribed spacer 1, and 5.8S ribosomal RNA
Source: RNAcentral